Long non-coding RNA from Sphaerodactylus townsendi, 2128 nucleotides. RefSeq lists it as uncharacterized. The record is from RefSeq and is a predicted model, not a curated record. NCBI's taxonomy places the organism in Eukaryota, Metazoa, Chordata, Lepidosauria, Squamata, Sphaerodactylidae. The transcript is spliced from 3 exons.
AGCCGCAGAAGGCCAUUGCUUUCACCUCCUGCAUGUGAGCUCCCAAAGGCACCUGGUGAGCCACUGCUAGUAGCAGAGAACUGGACUAGAUGGACUCUGGUCUCACCCACAGGCUCUUUCGUAUGUUCUUAAACUCUGCAGCCUGGAAAUGCGGUUGUCAUUCCUGGAGAACUCCAGGCAAUGCCUGGAGGUUGGCAGCAGGAGGCUCAAGACGAUUUAAUCCAAUAGAGGCGUUCUGGAUAGCAAGGAGUGGAUGUAGCCAAAUAAACAUUAAUGAAAAGCAAGAAGAGCCUGCAUUUGAAACAUCAUUUUAUUUCAGGCUAUUGACACAAUCUAAUUGGCUUGACAAAGAAUACGAAAUAAAACGAAAUCCGGAGGUCUUAUAGCCUCUAAGCCUUUAAAAAGCCUCUAUAUAAACUUCUUGUUACUUUACCUGUUGGAUUUAAAUAUCCCUGGAUGUAUCAUUAGAAGAAGUGAAGAUUGGGACUGUCACAGUUAUAAAUCAGUUGUCACAAUUGUAAAUCAUUUGUUUAUGACUCAAGUAUUGAGCUUUGUAUGCCAAGGUGUAAUAUAUGUUAAAAUGCCGAAAGUUGGCAGCAGAAGGCUCAAGACGAUUUAGUCCAAUAUCAGUGUUCUGGAAUGCAAUGAGUGGAUGUAGCCAAAUAACCAUUAAUGAAAGGUGUCAAUUUAAGCCCGCUUCAUCGAAUGCAGUGAGUAGGGAUGUUUUACGGACAUUUCAUGGGGGAGGUUUGGAGAACAAACAAAACAGCAGGGACAAGGAGCAAGGCCGCGUAGGAAAUAUAGUGUGAAAUACAGACUCUUCUUGAGAGUCAGCUUAGCGGAGAGACCCAGGUUCGAAUCCCCUCUCUUCCAUGGAAGCUCACUGGUUGACCUGGGCCAGCCACACAGUCUAAGCCUAACCCACCUCACGGGAUUGUUGUGAGCAUAAAAUGGAGGAUGACGGCAACCACUUUGGGUCUCCACUGGGGAGAAAGGGAGGGUGUCAACAAAAUAAAACUUGGGGAACUCAGUCACCUUAAAUUACCGCAAUGGGUUGUUGUAGGAAUAAAAUUAAGGUGACAAGAAAAAUGUGAGCUGCUUUGAGGCCCCAGCGGGACUUCGCCCUUCCCCAUGCGCUGUCGGCAUGUAGUCAAAAUGCCCUACGGAUCCCCUAUUAGCUUUCUUUGCAAAAUCUUGUUACUUAUAUAGCUGUGGGUAAGUUACACAGUGGAGCCAACAGUACAACAGACAACCUGGGAAAGCGAAAAUGGGGGAAGGGGAGAGACUGAAGCCAAGAGAAAAGGGUAUGUGCGAGUCUGGGAGAUACAAGACUCCCCUUAAAUGGCAGAUGCAAGGUCUCCAAAGACUUUGUAAUGCUUGCAGAGCUCAAGACGAGGUCUUUCCUAUCCCCUGAUCCUAUUAACUGGAGAUCCGAUUUAAUUAGAUUACACUACUUGUUGGACAAUCCUGAUCCUUCUCUCUGUAUGAUAGUGGCAGACUUUCUCCUGGAAAUUACUAAAUGCCAGUAGAUUUCCUUCAACCUAACAUUUAUUUCCUGUAUUGUAUAUGCUUUUUAAAUCCGUUUUUUUAUUAUUGUUGUACUGUUGUCUAUGCCAAUAAAGUCUUGCUACUGCUUAACUGGAGAUCAGAGGUGUAUGUAGGGAAAACGUAGCCCGGUGCAAAAUCUGAGUUUUCCACCCCACCACCACCCCACCGCCCCGAAUAGGCUGCUGUCCAUCCGCACCAGGACCAAACAACAUUAGUCUUGAAAUCAGUGUAUGGAUUAAAUGGCUGCAGCCCAGGGACAUUUGAUCCCGUAUGUCCCCCUGGGCUACUUACAAUACCAUAUAGACAGCAAGUCCCAACCAUUUAUCCAAGUGUCCACCAUGCAUAGCAUCCAUAUUUUCGCAGGGAAAUUUUGCCAGAGGUACAGAAGGAGAAAAAUCUAAAGACUGAUAAAGUGGCAGAGAAAGAUAGCGAGUGGGAAGGAAGGAGUUUGGAUUCAUGCUCCCCUUUCUCUCCUCUAAGGCGACGCAAAGGGGUUCACAAACCUCUUUCCCUUCCUCUCCCCACAACAGAAACCUUGUGAAGUAGGUGGGGCUGAGAGAGUUUUGGGAGAACUGUGACU